UUCCCUGCCUCGAGAAUUAAGAGCAGCCAUGCCCAUGGCAGUCUCAAGCAAAACCUCUCCUUGUCAGCUUAUUUUUCUGAGGUUUGCCAGCUCCUCACCAUUUACAUGUGCACAAUCUCUUGCCAGGAAGGGCUCUCACUACAGGAGCAACAUCUCCUGCCUGAGACAGGACACAGGGCUUCCAGUAUGUAAUUUUAUUAUCAGGAUUAAUCAAGGAGAAUGAUUCAUGCUUAGUGGAAAGCAAGAAAAACAAAAUCACCUUUCCAACAGACCAUUCUGGGAAGAUUGGAUUUACUUUCACCUAGACCAUGAAAGUUAGCUCAGGACUGAGGACAACAGCCAGACAACAGUUUAAAACUCCAGUGCCCUAAAGGAAAAAAUAAAAGCAUAAUUUUCAAGUCCAAUUAGGGCUUUGGCUCUGAGCAUUUGGCAGAAGGAGAAGACCAGUAACACUUCCCAUAUGGGCAAAUCACUUCCCAGCUGAGCAUUCUGGUUCUGGAAAGGUGAAUAGAAUUGGAGUCUCUCUUACGAAGCUUCUUCGCUAUUUGUGAAUAAGAACUACAAAAAAAGCCUCAAACCAACCCAACAAAUGUACAGGGACACC
Molecule: long non-coding RNA, 604 nt
Organism: Cyanistes caeruleus (blue tit)
Lineage: Eukaryota; Metazoa; Chordata; Aves; Passeriformes; Paridae
Source: RefSeq, a predicted model, not a curated record